This 497-nucleotide ribosomal RNA is filed under the name uncultured bacterium. RNAcentral describes it as "partial 16S ribosomal RNA". It matches the Rfam family "Bacterial small subunit ribosomal RNA", at positions 28 to 507 of the family's 1533-position model. The record is from RNAcentral.
GAUGAACGCUGGCGGCGUGCCUAAUACAUGCAAGUCGAGCGAACGGACGAGAAGCUUGCUUCUCUGAUGUUAGCGGCGGACGGGUGAGUAACACGUGGAUAACCUACCUAUAAGACUGGGAUAACUUCGGGAAACCGGAGCUAAUACCGGAUAAUAUUUUGAACCGCAUGGUUCAAAAGUGAAAGACGGUCUUGCUGUCACUUAUAGAUGGAUCCGCGCUGCAUUAGCUAGUUGGUAAGGUAACGGCUUACCAAGGCAACGAUGCAUAGCCGACCUGAGAGGGUGAUAGGCCACACUGGAACUGAAACACGGUCCAGACUCCUACGGGAGGCAGCAGUAGGGAAUCUUCCGCAAUGGGCGAAAGCCUGACGGAGCAACGCCGCGUGAGUGAUGAAGGUCUUCGGAUCGUAAAACUCUGUUAUUAGGGAAGAACAUAUGUGUAAGUAACUGUGCACAGCUUGACGGUACCUAAUCAGAAAGCCACGGCUAACUACGUG